GCCAGCCCUGAGAUAACCUCCCCUCUGGCCAGAGACAUUCCAACCCCCGCAAUAAACUUCUCCUCCACACAGAAACAUUCCAAGCCUGUGGGUGCAGCACCUCGCCCUGCUCUCGCUUCUUCCUUCUCCAGCCAUGUACGACAUGCCUGCUUCCCCUUUGCCUUCUGCCAUGAUUAUGUUUCCUGAGGCCUCCCCAGCCAUGCUUCCUGUACAGCCUGCAUAACUCAUAUUGAAGAGUAUCAUGAUGAAGAUUUUAUUGUACCUCUGUUCUUAAUUCUGAAAAUAAAUUCUUAAUAGUAACAUUUCUGGGUCAAAGCAUAUGUACAUUUGAUAAUUUAAUUAUGUGUAUUGCAAUUUCAAGGAUCAUCACUAAAAUAAAAGGAAUAAAAUAUAUAAAUUCUGCACAAGAAAAGGAAAAUGAGAUGAUUAAAAUAAUCAGCAUAAAAGUUAAAAAAUAAGAGAAAAGCAGGCUAGAAUAUGUAUAUCAACAAAUACCAAGAGGCAGAUGUAAGUCUAAAUAUAUUAAAACUUACAUUGAAUAUGAAAGGCCUAAAUUCUCCAGUUAAAUGACAAUAUUAGCAGAUUAAAAAAAAAAACUAAAUGUAUGAUACUUAUGUAAGUCAUUUAAAAUAGAAUGGUUGAAAGUAAAAACACAGAAGAAUAUAUACCAUGUAAACCCUAAUAAAAUAAUGCUACUGCAAAUAUUUUAAUACAAAAAAUUUAAAUUUAAAAAACUAGAUAUAAAAGGAUUACUCUUUAAUUAUAAAAGGUUCCAUAUGUCACAUAGCCAUACAAUUUUACCUGUGUAUGCUGCUUAAUAGCAUUGCCUAAAAUACUUACAAAAGAAAAUAAUUAUACAAAAUUAUACUACCUUUCUCAGGAAGUGUUAGGAGAGGCAACAACAACAGCAUCAAUAGACAUUCGUUGAUCAACCUAAGUAACAAAAUUGGUCUAAUGGAAGACCAAGAUCCCUGUAUUUAACAUUUAUAAAUAGGCAUUUUUUCAAUAUACACAGAUUAUUUACAACUAUUGAUAAUAUAGUGGCCAUAAAGGAUAUCUCCAUUAAUUUUAAUGAACAGAUUUCAUUAUAAAAUAUAUCCUCUGAUCACAAUUCAACUAAGCUAAUACAAAUAGAUAACUAAAAAUAUCCCAGUAUAUUUGAGAAUUAAGAAAUAAAUAUUUUAUUACUUUUAAAAAGCACCUUGUAAUAAAAUUGAUUUUUUCCUCCUGUGGCAUCACAGUUUUUUGUUUAAUACAUGUGUGUACCAUCAUAUUUAAAUACAAAACAAUUUAAUCUCCCUCCAAAGUCCCCCUGUUCCAUCUCUCAUAACUCCUGACAACCACUGACUGCUUCUGAGUUCCUAUAGAUUUGGCUCUUCAAGAAUGACAUAUAAAUGGAAUCACAUAGUAUGUAACGUCUUGAGAUUGACUUCUUUUACACAGCAUAAUGCUUUUAAGAUUCAUCCAAAGUCUUGUGUAUUUCAAAAGCACAUUUCUUUUCCUUGCUGAAUAGUAUUCUAUUGUAUGAAUACACAAGCCACAAUUUGUUUAUCUGCCCUUCGAGGACAUUUUAAUUAUUUCUAGUUUUUGGCAAUUAUGAAUAGUGGACAUUUGUAUAGAGGUUGUUUUGUAAACAUAAUUUUUCAACUCUUAGGGUAGAUAUCCAGAAGAUGGAAUGCUGUGUCAUAUGGUAAUUAUAUGUUUGCCAGUCUAGGAAAUUAGAAAACCUUUCCAGAAAGAUUGUACCAUUUUGCAUUCCUAUCAGCAAUAUUUUGAGAGCUACAAUUGUUCUGCAUCUUUGAUAGCACUUUAUAUUUUUAGUAUUUUUUUUUAAUGUAAGCCAUUCUAAUGGUUGUACAAUGGAAUCUCAUCAUGGUUUCAUUUUACAUUUAUCUAAUGGCUAUUAAUGUUGAAUGCCUUCUUUGUUAUCCUUAUUUCUUCUUUGCUGAAGUAGUUGCUCAUGUCUUUUGCUAAUUUUUAAAUUGGAUUGUGUAUUUGGAUUGUGUAUUUUCUUAUUGUUGAGUUUUGAAUGUUCUUUCUAUAAAGUAAAUUUCAAUUCUUUGUGCAUAAGUAAAAUAAAAAUAUUUUCUCUCAUUC
This 2097-nucleotide long non-coding RNA is filed under the name Homo sapiens (human). Its description in RNAcentral is "HSALNT0352823". The record is from RNAcentral. Lineage: Eukaryota; Metazoa; Chordata; Mammalia; Primates; Hominidae.